UAGAACUUAGAGUUUAUACUGAUUACACCCCAUACAAGGAGCAAUGAAGACUUGGUUUUCGCUAGUUUUGUUCGCCGUGUUGAUGCUGUUCGCCAUGACUGGCAGCACUGGUGCACGGGACCCAGACGAUUUGUUGCAUCAGCAUGAACCAAUAAUUGGCAAGCGAGCAGCACAGGGCGAUUGUCCGAUCCAUGAGUCGGGCGAAUGUAUUAAAUUUGGUCACGAGGUAGAAGGGUAGUUGGUAAAUCUGCUGAAUUAGGGUACACCUUUCUUGUGAGGGUGCAUGGUAAAGUUUUUGAACAAUAAAAUUCCCUUUGGGACAUGCUUAUAUAAA
Molecule: long non-coding RNA, 334 nt
Organism: Uranotaenia lowii
Lineage: Eukaryota; Metazoa; Arthropoda; Insecta; Diptera; Culicidae
Exons: 2
Source: RefSeq, a predicted model, not a curated record